UGGCUCAGUUGGUAGAGCAUGGUGUUUGCAACGCCAGGGUUGUGGGUUCAAUACCCAU
This is a non-coding RNA of Salmo salar (Atlantic salmon), 58 nucleotides long. NCBI's taxonomy places the organism in Eukaryota, Metazoa, Chordata, Actinopteri, Salmoniformes, Salmonidae. The record is from Rfam.